RNAcentral lists this ribosomal RNA (460 nucleotides) under uncultured bacterium. RNAcentral describes it as "partial 16S ribosomal RNA". It matches the Rfam family "Bacterial small subunit ribosomal RNA", at positions 338 to 795 of the family's 1533-position model. The record is from RNAcentral.
CCUACGGUGGGCAGCAGUGAGGAAUAUUGGUCAAUGGGCGCGAGCCUGAACCAGCCAAGUAGCGUGAAGGAUGACUGCCCUACGGGUUGUAAACUUCUUUUAUAAAGGAAUAAAGUGAGGCACGUGUGCCUUUUUGUAUGUACUUUAUGAAUAAGGAUCGGCUAACUCCGUGCCGGCAGCCGAGGGAAUACGGAGGAUCCGAGCGUUGUACGGAUUUAUUGGGUUUAAAGGGAGCGUCGAUGGGUUGUUAAGUCAGUUGUGAAAUUUUGCGGCUCAACCGUAAAAUUGCAAUUGAUCCUGGCAGGCUUGAGUACAGUAGAGGUGGGCGGAAUUCGUGGUGUAGCGGUGAAAUGCUUAGAUAUCACGAAGAACUCCGAUUGCGAAGGCAGCUUACUAAACUGCCACUGACAUUGAUGCUCGAAAGUGUGGGUAUCAAACAGGAUUAGAUACCCGUGUAGUC